AAGCAUAUAAGUAAGUGGUGGUAAAAAAACCACAAGGGAUUUCCUAAGUAAUGGCGAAUGAAGAGGAAAGAGCUUAUAACUAAAACCUAAGCACUUGUGCUUCGGAUUGUUUUAUCUUGAUGUGUGACCAGUCGGCCCGCGCGUGUAUGUUUUUUGGAAAAGGCAUGAUGAAAGGUGAGAAUCCUGUUCAGCACGCGUGAUACCGACGUACGGUCCAUAUUCACAGAGUCGUGUUCCCUGGGACGGGAGCGCAAAUUGGGAGGUAUAUUUCUCCUGAAGCUCAAUAUCUUCUCGAGUCCGAUAGUGAACAAGUACCGUGAGGGAAAGGUGCAAAGUACUUUGAAAAGAGAGUUAAACGCGCCUGAAAUCGCUGCAGUAUAAGCACUUUGAACCUGUAUGUCUGUGGGACUGGGGCUCACGCUUCUUGCCGGCCCUGCUUCGAGCGUAAGUACGGAGUAGGUAGUCUUAGAGUUGCGCGUGUUCUGAAUCCCACAAUGUCAGCUGACACGAGUUCAUAUGUUGUGAUGAUCCUUUCGGUUCUCAGCUCCUAGAGUUGCGUCCGAGAUGGACACCUACUGUGGACUGUUGUUGCAGGUAGCUGCCACCCCUUGUUCGAAGUUUUCUGACCGGAGAGCCCAGCACAUGUGCCGCACUCCUGAUGGAUUCUACAGCAAGGCACAGUCUACCCGCGGUGUCGGCGUAGAAGGUUUAAAUUGACCCGUCUUGAAACACGGACCAAGGAGUCCACACACAUGCGCGAGUACAUGUACUAGAUCUUCAUGUGCGUAAUGAACGUAACAGUUGGGAUUUUUGCACCAACGGCCGACUUUCGAUCUACGGAGAGAGGUUUGAGUGUGAGCGUGUGUGUUGGGACCCGAAAGAUGGUGAACUAUAUCUGAGUAGGGUGAAGCCAGAGGAAACUCUGGUGGAGGCUCGUAGCGAUACUGACGUGCAAAUCGUUCGUCACACUUGGACAUAGGGGCGAAAGACUAAUCGAACCAUCUAG
RNAcentral lists this ribosomal RNA (1006 nucleotides) under Euduboscquella sp. Its description in RNAcentral is "partial large subunit ribosomal RNA". It matches the Rfam family "Eukaryotic large subunit ribosomal RNA", at positions 36 to 947 of the family's 3401-position model. Lineage: Eukaryota; Dinophyceae; Syndiniales; Eudubosquellidae. The record is from RNAcentral.